Molecule: unclassified non-coding RNA, 180 nt
Filed under: uncultured Hypocreales
Lineage: Eukaryota; Fungi; Ascomycota; Sordariomycetes; Hypocreales
Description: sequence contains ITS1
Source: RNAcentral
CCGAGUUUACAACUCCCAAACCCACUGUGAACAUACCCCAGUUGCCUCGGCGGGACCGCCCCGGCCAGCCGGCCCCCGCGCCGGCGCCGGAUCCAUGGCGCCCGCCGCAGGAACCCAACCAAACUCUUUUGCAUUUACCAUGUUUUCUCUCCGAGUUGCGAAAGCAAAACAAAUGAAUCA